Molecule: long non-coding RNA, 1278 nt
Organism: Papaver somniferum (opium poppy)
Lineage: Eukaryota; Viridiplantae; Streptophyta; Magnoliopsida; Ranunculales; Papaveraceae
Exons: 6
Source: RefSeq, a predicted model, not a curated record
UACGUGUAGUUCUUGGAAACUUCGUAUAACUUCCUCAAUUGAGAGAUAACUGCAAAUCAGUUCCAAUCGUUUCCCCUAAUUAGUUUUGUUCUUCCGACUACGAAGAAGAGACGUAUUUUGUUCUCUCAAUUGCUAGAAACAUGGUGAGGUUUAGGAGGGAGACAAAUCCACUAAAUAGUGGUAUUGGCGGUCGAUUUUAAAACUUACGAGUACCGAAUCCUUUUCUGACGAGAUUUCCAUUUCUGAUUUACGGAUUUUGGUUAUGGGGUUUCACGUACCUCCUCACAAAAGACAGAAGAAAAUACGCAUAUAUAUCUGUCUGCUCUCCAACUCCCCGUGUUCUCAUGGGUAUUCCUGCUCUCCUAAAUAUAUUUUUUCAAUCUCAUUUGACUUGGUGGUAUUAUUUCUCUCGCGGAUUCUUUUUUCUUUUCUUUUUUCCACUGAUCAUGUGAGAAUUAUUAUCAUUAUUUUUAUUUUAUUUUUGGUUGCAUUCAUGUUUUGGUUGCUGCUGGGGUUUACCUUACUUCAUAUAUAUAUUUAUUCUAACCAUUGUAGAAGUUUCCUUUCCUGACUCAGUUGUUUUCAAUUCCUUACUGCUGGGUUUAGGGCCCUCAACCAUACCGACGGCCUUUCCAGGGGUGUUUCAGAUGUGAUUUAUGAAUUCUCUACUAGGGAUGGUGCAACACUUGACAGGCAUAUGGAUGUCGACAAGGUUUGAUCCGGAGCAGUAUAUGGUGCAGAAGUAGGCAGGUUUGAUCCGGAGCAGCCUAGAUUUGAAAAAGGAAUGCGGCCACAAAAGCAAGUAACAAUUUGGUUUGCAAUGGAUGUACAAAACAAGUGGGAACAUAUGGAAAUGAGUACGUUUGCUGAUCAUGCAUUGAGAAUCUAUUUGAAUUUUUGGUCUACCUUGAUGAAAGUUUGUGUAUUGUUUGAAGGAAAUGCAGGUUCCAUGUCAAAUUUGGUUAAUGAAAAAUGUCCAAUAGUAGAGAUUUUGUGUUGUAUUGUUAGUUAGUAAGUUUGUUGAUUACUGCUACCCUCAAAGAAGCGCUAAAAGUUUUUGGAAGUGUCAGUUAGGAUUAAAUAUAAAAAAUCAUUUUUUGAAUGUGCUCAUAGGGACUCCUGGAGUGCUACAGGGUGCUGCAAUAUCACUGCAUGUUGGUAGUAAUUGCAGUUAUAUUUAUGCCCUUUUGUUUUGCCUCACUUAUUGUGUAAGUGAGAGUCGUGUCAUGAAAUUUAUCUAUUUUGUUAAUAAAUCAUCACAAUUUAUUCAUUGUUAAA